AGCAGCCGCGGUAAUUCCAGCUCCAAUAGCGUAUAUUAAAGUUGUUGCAGUUAAAAAGCUCGUAGUUGAAUUUCGGGAUCAAUAUGUUGGUCGUGCCUUGGUACGUACUGGCAUUAUUGGUUUCUACCUUCUGUAAGAACCUCGAUGUCAUUAAUUUGGUGUCUUGGGGAAUCAGGACUGUUACUUUGAAAAAAUUGAGUGUUUAAAGCAGGCUCGCGCUUGAAUACAUUAGCAUGGAAUAAUGAAAUAGGACGUUUGAUUCUAUUUUGUUGGUUUCUAGGAUCGACGUAAUGAUUAAUAGGGAUAGUUGGGGGCAUUAGUAUUCAAUUGUCAGAGGUGAAAUUCUGGAUUUAUUGAAGACUAACUACUGCGAAAGCAUUUGCCAAGGAUGUUUUCAUUAAUCAAGAACGAAGUUAGGGGAUCGAAGACGAUCAGAUACCGUCGUAGUCUUAACCAUAAACCUAUGCCGACUAGGGAUCGGAUGAUGUACAUUUUAAUGA
This 500-nucleotide unclassified non-coding RNA is filed under the name uncultured Glomus. RNAcentral describes it as "SSU rRNA". It matches the Rfam family "Eukaryotic small subunit ribosomal RNA", at positions 569 to 1075 of the family's 1831-position model. The record is from RNAcentral. Lineage: Eukaryota; Fungi; Glomeromycota; Glomeromycetes; Glomerales; Glomeraceae.